GCCGAACGGUAACAGGUUAAGCUGACGAGUGGCGAACGGGUGAGUAAUGUAUCGGAACGUGCCCAGUCGUGGGGGAUAACUGCUCGAAAGAGCAGCUAAUACCGCAUACGACCUGAGGGUGAAAGCGGGGGAUCGCAAGACCUCGCGCGAUUGGAGCGGCCGAUAUCAGAUUAGGUAGUUGGUGAGGUAAAGGCUCACCAAGCCGACGAUCUGUAGCUGGUCUGAGAGGACGACCAGCCACACUGGGACUGAGACACGGCCCAGACUCCUACGGGAGGCAGCAGUGGAGAAUUUUGGACAAUGGGCGCAAGCCUGAUCCAGCCAUGCCGCGUGCGGGAAGAAGGCCUUCGGGUUGUAAACCGCUUUUGUCAGGGAAGAAAAGGUUCUGGCUAAUACCUGGGACUCAUGACGGUACCUGAAGAAUAAGCACCGGCUAACUACGUGCCAGCAGCCGCGGUAAUACGUAGGGUGCAAGCGUUAAUCGGAAUUACUGGGCGUAAAGCGUGCGCAGGCGGUUAUGCAAGACAGAGGUGAAAUCCCCGGGCUCAACCUGGGAACUGCCUUUGUGACUGCAUGGCUAGAGUACGGUAGAGGGGGAUGGAAUUCUGCGUGUAGCAGUGAAAUGCGUAGAUAUGCGGAGGAACACCGAUGGCGAAG
This 657-nucleotide ribosomal RNA is filed under the name uncultured Roseateles sp. RNAcentral describes it as "bacterial SSU rRNA". It matches the Rfam family "Bacterial small subunit ribosomal RNA", at positions 61 to 720 of the family's 1533-position model. The record is from RNAcentral. Lineage: Bacteria; Pseudomonadati; Pseudomonadota; Betaproteobacteria; Burkholderiales; Sphaerotilaceae.